AAGUCGUAACAAGGUCUCCGUUGGUGAACCAGCGGAGGGAUCAUUACCGAGUUUACAACUCCCAAACCCCAUGUGAACCUUAUACCUUACCGUUGCUUCGGCGGGCUCGGCCCCGGCAGCAGGCCCCGCCUGCCCGGAACAAGGCGCCCGCCGGGGGACCAAAACAAACUCUUUUGUAUCUUGCAAGCUUGUCUGAGUGGCAUGAAAAAAUGAAUCAAAACUUUCAACAACGGAUCUCUUGGUUCUG
RNAcentral lists this unclassified non-coding RNA (247 nucleotides) under fungal sp. Its description in RNAcentral is "partial internal transcribed spacer region". The stretch from base 1 to 46 matches the Rfam family "Eukaryotic small subunit ribosomal RNA", at positions 1786 to 1831 of the family's 1831-position model. The record is from RNAcentral. Lineage: Eukaryota; Fungi. RNAcentral also lists the same sequence under 1 other name.